Molecule: non-coding RNA, 46 nt
Filed under: Schistosoma mattheei
Lineage: Eukaryota; Metazoa; Platyhelminthes; Trematoda; Strigeidida; Schistosomatidae
Source: RNAcentral
GAACUACUGAGGAGUCCCAUACUAGGACGAAACGGCCGUCCAGUGC